GACGAACGCUGGCGGCGUGCUUAACACAUGCAAGUCGAACGGAAAGGCCCUGCUUUUGUGGGGUGCUCGAGUGGCGAACGGGUGAGUAACACGUGAGUAACCUGCCCUUGACUUUGGGAUAACUUCAGGAAACUGGGGCUAAUACCGGAUAGGAGCCCCUGCAGCAUGGUGGGGGUUGGAAAGUUUCGGCGGUCGUGGAUGGACUCGCGGCUUAUCAGCUUGUUGGUGGGGUAGUGGCUUACCCAGGAUUUGACUGGUAGCCGGCCUGAGAGGGUGACCGGCCACAUUGGGACUGAGAGACGGCGCAGACUCCUACGGGAGGCAGCAGUGGGGAAUAUUGCACAAUGGGCGGAAGCCUGAUGCAGCAACGCCGCGUGCGGGAUGACGGCCUUCGGGUUGUAAACCGCUUUCGCCUGUGACGAAGCGGGAGUGACGGUAAUGGGUAAAGAAGCACCGGCUAACUACGUG
RNAcentral lists this ribosomal RNA (468 nucleotides) under uncultured bacterium. Its description in RNAcentral is "partial 16S ribosomal RNA". It matches the Rfam family "Bacterial small subunit ribosomal RNA", at positions 28 to 507 of the family's 1533-position model. The record is from RNAcentral.